Molecule: ribosomal RNA, 720 nt
Filed under: uncultured bacterium
Lineage: Bacteria
Description: bacterial SSU rRNA
Rfam family: Bacterial small subunit ribosomal RNA
Source: RNAcentral
GUAGUCCACGCCGUAAACGAUGAAUACUAGGUGUAGGGGUUGUCAUGACCUCUGUGCCGCCGCUAACGCAUUAAGUAUUCCGCCUGGGGAGUACGGUCGCAAGAUUAAAACUCAAAGGAAUUGACGGGGGCCCGCACAAGCAGCGGAGCAUGUGGUUUAAUUCGAAGCAACGCGAAGAACCUUACCUAGACUUGACAUCUCCUGAAUUACUCUGUAAUGGAGGAAGCCGCUUCGGCGGCAGGAAGACAGGUGGUGCAUGGUUGUCGUCAGCUCGUGUCGUGAGAUGUUGGGUUAAGUCCCGCAACGAGCGCAACCUUAUUGUUAGUUGCUACCAUUUAGUUGAGCACUCUAGCGAGACUGCCCGGGUUAACCGGGAGGAAGGUGGGGAUGACGUCAAAUCAUCAUGCCCCUUAUGUCUAGGGCUACACACGUGCUACAAUGGUCGGUACAAUGAGAUGCAACCUCGCGAGAGUGAGCAAAACUAUAAAACCGAUCUCAGUUCGGAUUGUAGGCUGAAACUCGCCUACAUGAAGCUGGAGUUGCUAGUAAUCGCGAAUCAGAAUGUCGCGGUGAAUACGUUCCCGGGCCUUGUACACACCGCCCGUCACACCAUGAGAGUUGGCAAUACCCAAAGUUCGUGAGCUAACCGCAAGGAGGCAGCGACCUAAGGUAGGGUCAGCGAUUGGGGUGAAGUCGUAACAAGGUAGCCGUAGGAGAACC